GAUGAACGCUAGCGGCAGGCCUAAUACAUGCAAGUCGAGGGGCAGCGCGGUAGCAAUACUGGCGGCGACCGGCGCACGGGUGCGUAACGCGUAUGGAACUUGCCCUUUACUAAGGGAUAGCCCGGAGAAAUCCGGAUUAAUACCUUAUAGUAUGGAGAUGUGGCAUCACAUUUUUAUUAAAGAUUUAUCGGUAAAGGAUAGUCAUGCGUAUGAUUAGCUAGUUGGCGGGGUAAUGGCCCACCAAGGCUUCGAUCAUUAGGGGGUCUGAGAGGAUGAUCCCCCACACUGGUACUGAGAUACGGACCAGACUCCUACGGGAGGCAGCAGUAGGGAAUAUUGGUCAAUGGACGAGAGUCUGAACCAGCCAUGCCGCGUGCAGGAAGAAGGCCCUCUGGGUUGUAAACUGCUUUUGAUAGGGGCCAAAAUAUCCAUGCGUGGAGAAUUGAGAGUACCUAUAGAAUAAGCACCGGCUAACUCCGUG
RNAcentral lists this ribosomal RNA (481 nucleotides) under uncultured organism. Its description in RNAcentral is "bacterial SSU rRNA". It matches the Rfam family "Bacterial small subunit ribosomal RNA", at positions 28 to 507 of the family's 1533-position model. The record is from RNAcentral.